This 447-nucleotide ribosomal RNA is filed under the name uncultured bacterium. Its description in RNAcentral is "bacterial SSU rRNA". It matches the Rfam family "Bacterial small subunit ribosomal RNA", at positions 355 to 825 of the family's 1533-position model. The record is from RNAcentral.
UGGGGAAUCUUGGACAAUGGGCGCAAGCCUGAUCCAGCCAUGCCGCGUGAGUGAUGAAGGCCCUAGGGUUGUAAAACUCUUUCGUGGGGGACGAUAAUGACGGUACCCCAAGAAGAAGCUCCGGCUAACUUCGUGCCAGCAGCCGCGGUAAUACGAAGGGGGCUAGCGUUGUUCGGAUUUACUGGGCGUAAAGCGCGUGUAGGCGGGCUGGAAAGUUGGGGGUGAAAUCCCGAGGCUCAACCUCGGAACUGCCUCCAAAACUUCCAGCCUGGACUCAAGUAGAGGCAAGUGGAAUUGCGAGUGUAGAGGUGAAAUUCGUAGAUAUUCGCAGGAACACCAGUGGCGAAGGCGACUUGCUGGACUUGUAGUGACGCUGAGACGCGAAAGCGUGGGGAGCAAACAGGAUUAGAUACCCACGUAGUCCCUGAGCGGGCUGGCAAGGCGCAU